UUUUUUAAAAAAAAAAUUAAAAAAUUAUUUUAUUUGCCACGUAGCAGACAUUUGGCAGCCACGUGUCAUAUAUGUGGCAGCCACAUCAACAUUUAACAGAUCCAUGGAUGGAAAAUCUAACGGUUGUAUGAAAUUGAAAUAAAAUAGUACUUGAGGUAUGAAAGUGAAAUGUUUUAAAGAUGUUGUAUGAGAUUGCAAUAGAGCUCAAACUUGAGGGGCUACUAUGUAAUUUACCCUUUAAACAAAUAUCUAACACAUUAAAUCAUUUGAAAAACAUAAAACAUAAACUUUAUGAAAUAAAUCAAAACUUUGAAUCAAAACACAAAACUUUUUGUUCUUGGCAAAAAUGUCAAGAACAAUGAAGAACAUUUAUGAAAAACUCAAAAAUUUUCCAUGAACAUUUUUCACCCAAAAACAUUCAAAAACCAUUCAAACUUUAGGGAAAUAACAUAUAACCAAACUAGGGUACAUAGGGGUUCCAAAAGUCACUAAAACACUUUUAACAAGUCAAACAAGAACCCAAAAUUCCACCCUUUGGAUUUGGCCGAAAAUUCCCAAAAACAUGGCACCAAAUUUUAGCUCCAAUAUUCAUGCUCAUAUGAACUACAUCUACAACAUUUGAGAUGGCAAAUUUUCUAACAAAAUUUACAUUCAAAGAAACAAGAAUAAAGCUUGUAACAUAUUACAACUUUUAAAUCACAAACUAUGAACUACAAAACCCAAAAGGAUUCACCAACUACUAGACCUAGGCUCUGAUACCACUUGAAGGAUUAUUUUGUGAAAACAUGUUCAUUUGAAUAACAUCUAUAGCAUGUAUUUAACAAUUAAAAGGCGGAAUCAUGCUUGCAUGCAUUCAAAAACAAAACAUUAACCAUGAAAUUCAAAGCCUAGUAGAUUAAUGAACCAAGACUCAACUCAAAAUCAAAGUGAGUUGAAAUUUACCUUUGUAGAUUCCUCUUUGCAUAAGUAAAGGCUAAUCACCCAAAGAGAGGGCCUUCAUUCCUUGCAUCUAAAAUCUAUGGAUUUGGAUGGAUGAAAAGGUUUCUCCAAGUUCCCAAAAUUGAGAACCUCUAAGUAUCCACACCAAGGUUAGAUUGGAGAAGAAAAUGAGUGACCUUGGAGGAUUAGUAUGGCUAGAUACGCCCUCCAAGGGGGCCGGCCUCCUAGAGAGAAAAGGAGAGACAUGUUCUCUCCAAUUUUCUCCAAAAGAACCCAUAAUGAAUUUAGGCUAUAAAGUCCUUUAUAUAGUCACUUCAAAUAAGUGACCUAAAGAACCAAAAAACCAUUGUCUCUAACAUGGCCGGCCAUAUAGGGAAUUUGGGCUUUUGGGCCUUUGUGAAUCUUUAUUCAUUAAAUUGUCAUACAACUUAAGUCAAUGGGCUUGAUGUUCGAAGCCCAUUGGGCUUUAAGGUCCAAAACUAUCCCGAGGUCUUUAACGAACUUAUUCGUUUGAUUAAUUAACAUAUUAAUUAAUCCUUGCCAUAAAUAAUUAAACCAUUUAAUUAUUCUUACUCAUCUCCAUUGUUUCUUCAAUCUCCACCUUACACGGUGUACGAUCCAUUAGUUUCCUUUUAGCGAGGUAGUGGGCGAUUAAAACCAUUUCACAUCGAUUGUGAAUUGAAACUUACUUUCAAUUCUCCCUUUAGUGAUUAUACACGUUUAGGGCUUCCACAAACCAAGAGUGACACCUAGCAGCAUAUCAUGGUUACCCAAGCUAAUCAGAAGAGGUAGAGAACCUAUUCAGUUUAGGAUUACAAAUGCAAUACGGUAUUUCUCUAAUACAAUACUCUUGACCACAUUGUUUGGUUUGAUAGUUUAUUCAUGUCUACUAUCCAAUGUGAUUCGUGUGAUUAUAUGAUUACCUUGAAUUUGAUUUAUAACGACUUUUCUAAAUCUCAUUCAUACUCUGGCCAGAGAUUCUUAAUCAUAUAAUAGAGUAUUCUCCCCUAAACGGUUUGAAGGUUAGAGAUCCCUUGUUGCGCAUUCACUUGACUCCAUAGCUAAGUGGCUUAACCCCAACGAUGCCGUGGACACCCGCG
This 2039-nucleotide long non-coding RNA is filed under the name Malus domestica (apple). RNAcentral's name for it is "long non-coding RNA (MDOM_LNC004461)". Lineage: Eukaryota; Viridiplantae; Streptophyta; Magnoliopsida; Rosales; Rosaceae. The record is from RNAcentral.